CUUUAUAUACAGGGGUGCUGGCAGACUGCCGGCUGAGAGUAAGACGAGAAGAGGUCUUUAACCCUUAUACCUGAUCUGGGUAAUGCCAGCGUAGGAAUAAAACAGUACAGCUGU
Molecule: non-coding RNA, 114 nt
Organism: Anaerostipes sp. CAG:276
Lineage: Bacteria; Bacillati; Bacillota; Clostridia; Lachnospirales; Lachnospiraceae
Source: Rfam